This 846-nucleotide long non-coding RNA is filed under the name Sus scrofa (pig). Its description in RNAcentral is "lncRNA (ENSSSCG00050033680.1)". The record is from RNAcentral. Lineage: Eukaryota; Metazoa; Chordata; Mammalia; Artiodactyla; Suidae.
ACAGAGUAGGGUACUUGCGAUGGAGACCAAAUGGCCCCCAGCCUGAAAUACUGGCUGCCUGGCCCUUUGCAGAAGUCGAUUGCUGACUCCCGCGUCAAACUUAUGGCAGAACUGGAAUGACUUCAACCCUGUAAAGAUCUGUUAAAUCCUUAUGGAAGAAAGUAAGUGGAAAGCCUAGUCGAGUCUACGUGGCCUCAGUGAAGUUGGACAGUGGGUCACAUGAUCCAAGGAGAGUGAAAACGUGUGCUGUUCAUUGCGAUGCUUCCUUUCAUGAUGCUCACCAUCCAGACACUAAGAAACACACCUGGAGCCCUUCUGCUGGCUAUGAUGGGCACGCUCUCCAUCCACUCUCAUGUCUUACAGCCACUGGCCACAUGUGGCUACUGAGCUGUGAAGACGAGGCUGAUGUGACUGAGGAACUAAAUUUUGAACUGAAAUCACUUUUAGUUAAUUGAAAUUUAAACAGCCACAAGUGGCUAAUUGCCACUUUUUUAACCUAUGUGGCUCUAGAAGAUACUUAGAUCUGCUUCUCCGAUGUUUUAGUUACUAUAGCCUAAAUAUAAUAUUAAAAAAAAAAAACAAAAAACAAAACCGCAAUGACUGUCAAUGCAGUUGUUGCCAGAUAAGUGCUAGGGCUUAACUGUCCCCACCAAUGCUUCCUUCAGGAUUCUUUUAGCCCUUCUCUUCAAUUAGAUACAGCUCUGGCCUCUAAUCAAGACUACUGGACCAAAAGCCACAGUUGCCAGAGUCAAGAGAUCCCUUCAGCCUCAAUGUGAGGCUGUCUUCCAACACAGCAAAGGAAUAAAUUCAGUAGUAACAUUGAAAAUUUUCAAAUAAAGGUAUUUU